This 261-nucleotide ribosomal RNA is filed under the name Triticum aestivum (bread wheat). Its description in RNAcentral is "partial small subunit ribosomal RNA". Lineage: Eukaryota; Viridiplantae; Streptophyta; Magnoliopsida; Poales; Poaceae. The record is from RNAcentral.
AUGGCCACAGCGACCCCUCCCCUUCUCUCCGUGGCCACGACAGCUCAGGCAGGGGCACACACCCAACAUCGCCAUGGACCAGUAGCUCAAGCAUUUUUCUUCCUGAUGGUGAUGGGGUUCCAUCACCAUAUUCAGGUGAAGCUCUAUCUAUUCUCUACUACAGUGUCUACAGUGGACUGUUUGCACCUUCUGUGCAAAUACCUGAUUGUAUAUGGAUUGAAUGGAUGGAUAGAUUGCAGGGUCUACAAUGCACCACCUUGA